CCUACGGGGGGCUGCAGUGGGGAAUUUUGGACAAUGGGCGCAAGCCUGAUCCAGCAAUGCCGCGUGCAGGAUGAAGGCCUUCGGGUUGUAAACUGCUUUUGUACGGAGCGAAAAGGCUUCCACUAAUACUGGGGGCUCAUGACGGUACCGUAAGAAUAAGCACCGGCUAACUACGUGCCAGCAGCCGCGGUAAUACGUAGGGUGCAAGCGUUAAUCGGAAUUACUGGGCGUAGAGCGUUCGCAGGCGGUCGAAAUCCCCGGGCUUAACCUGGGAACUGCACUUGUGACUGCAAGGCUGGAGUACGGCAGAGGGGGAUGGAAUUCCGCGUGUAGCAGUGAAAUGCGUAGAUAUGCGGAGGAACACCGAUGGCGAAGGCAAUCCCCUGGGCCUGUACUGACGCUCAUGCACGAAAGCGUGGGGAGCAAACAGGAUUAGAUACCCUUGUAGUC
This 450-nucleotide ribosomal RNA is filed under the name uncultured bacterium. Its description in RNAcentral is "partial 16S ribosomal RNA". It matches the Rfam family "Bacterial small subunit ribosomal RNA", at positions 338 to 795 of the family's 1533-position model. The record is from RNAcentral.